Long non-coding RNA from Taeniopygia guttata (zebra finch), 3147 nucleotides. Lineage: Eukaryota; Metazoa; Chordata; Aves; Passeriformes; Estrildidae. The record is from Ensembl.
UUGUUGUUGUUGUUGUGAAUAACUUCCACUGUUGUUAUUUCAUUUUUGUUUUGUGUGGUUCCUUCAUACCAAAAAAAUGAAUUUUUCCUUCAGUUACUCUGCUACAGAAAAUCAUACAGUUCCUAUUGAAACACUUCUGGAAGUCAGUAUAAUCCCAGUGGCAUUCAGAACAACUGAUGUGUGCUAAAUGGGAUUGCAAAGAGAGCCACUCUUCAUAAAACCCUACAUGCCAAAAUCCAUUUAAUGCUUCCUUUUAAGAGCCCCAGCUGAGAACACGCAGGGUUUUGUUAAGCUUGACAAAGUAACAUCUUGCUCCCCAAGCAAAUGCAGCUAAGGUGGAUGGGUUUUAACAACAUUGUAGGGAAGAGAAUUUUGAUAUGCUUAACAGCUUCAAGUUUAAAUGCUUGUUUUCUUCAGAGUAUGCAGAAACCUACACUCUGCUUUGCUGCCUCCAGGUUUCAUGUGCUACUGUGUCAUAGUUUUUGACCUCUACAGGGAAAUUAAGUUAUAUACACUUAAAAAGGGCCAUGUUUGUGUAUGUCAUUCCCAUCUGGUUGGCAGACAGGAGUUAUGGUAGAAAAUCACAAGGAACUGGAUAGCAAGGUUCUAGAAAACAAAAGUAUUGAUUUGGAACAGCCUUUCCUGACUUUGCAUAAUUUCUACAUGAAACCCCAGGUUGGAGGAAUCCUAGUGACUAAAUAUGGUGGCUGAAGCAAGAAGGUAAGAGAACAGGUUAUGAGCCAAUUGAAGCUGAUAAAGAAAUACAACAUCAGGAAAUGUCUGUCUGACUCAAUCCAAAGAUGGAAGUCAGGAGAUCUUAUCCAAAUUAUCAUUAGACUGAAUUUCUGUACGUAAUUUUGUAUAAAGAUCCUUCCUGUUAAGCUAACAUCCAGAAUGUAAGGAGGAUCCUUUUGAUCAUUGAAUAAAUUCUGUCUUUUAAUGGAAGCUCAAGUUUUGCUCAGGUAACAUUACAGGUUCCCAUAGAAAGAGUUUUAAAUAUGGUGCAUGUAUCAUCUAGCUGGCCAGAUAUUAACACUGGACAAAUGAAGCUGGACUGUGUUAUCAAGCAAGGGAGGCACAGAAUAUCUGGCUGUGGCACACCUGGUGGGUGUGCUCAAGACAGACUGAUUGGGUCCAAGGUGCAAUCAGACAUGUACCAUCUCUCCUCUUUUAUUCCCCUGCCACGGCAGAACAUGCUCACUGCAGUGCUCAUGUUUCCUCACGCUUUCACCCUCAUCCUUUCCCUUGUGUAAUGCUUACUCAUUGACCACAAUGUCUGCUGUCAUAUUUUCAUGGCAUACUAGACAUUAUUCCCAAGAACAUGUAUCAGUCUCCUUAUACUCCUUCUUUUCAGAGGGAUUUUCUUUUUCUUUCUUUUUGGUGCAUAAUGAGCUUCAUAACAUUUAUUUGGGGCAGGCCUCAUCACAGAUUGGUGCUAUCACAUCCAUGAAGGGUUAGAAAUGUACAAGUUAUGGGCUCCUGCCAGCAUGCAUAAAACUGUGUACUCUAUUUUUUCUGGCUCCUGAUCUACUGAAACUAAUUUAGUAAUUUUAAUUGUUUUAUUCAUUUGGAAUUGUAGUAUUAAUCAAAUAUUGCAGUUGCCUCAGCUGCACCUGUCUAUUCUGCUGAGGUCCCCCAUUGUGAACACUUGGAUGCACAAUGAUAUUACUUCUAACCAAAGAGAAAAAUAUUUUUGCUUCACAUUUCUUCUUUUCUUCUGAGUUUGUUCAUUCAGUAUAGAAGUCUACUCUUGUAUUAAUCAUGGAAAAUUUUAUUGUCACUGUAUCAUAGUCAUGAUCAAGCCCAUGUUUUCUAUUGAUUGAAAUUUCAAACUUUUGAGGGAAGUAUAUCCCACUCCCACCUAAAAUUGGAGGACAGCCAAUAUCACCGUACAAAACAGCUUGGUUCCUGGUAAGGCUAAGUGCUUUAUACAGACCUCAGCAGGUUUCCCACCUUUCCAGAAUGCACAGAGCAUAAAGCAUUUCCAGUGCUUCCUCUCUGGAAGCAUUUUUUGAAUCAUAAUUUAGCACCAUAUAUGAAAAUUCAUUUAAUCAGUAAAUUAAAUGCUUUUAUGUGAUCCUGGGUGUAUUUAGAGCUUGGUUAAGAGGCUCCCAAAGUAGUUUGAGUACUUUUGUCCCCUCAUCCUAUUCGUAUUGUUACUAAUAUCUAUAAAUCUUAAUUGAAAUUACACAGCUGAAGAACUGUGCUAGUUUGUACUCAGCUGGGAUGAGAAAUCACUCUCUGCUCCUGGGCCAGGAAAGUAAUCAACGCUGUUUAACCACUUUUAAUUUCACAGGAUCAGUGCUUUAAAGUUUGAAAUAAGAUUGCCAUACUUCAAAGUUAAAGUUAAAUACAAGUAAGGGGCUGUGGGAGUUUGAGAAAGAGUGAUGGAGUGGAAAAGUCCACUGAUCAGGACUAUGAUACUCCCUGUGUGUCUCUGAAUACUAACCCAUUACUAGCAAAAGUGUUUUUUAUUUAAAUGCUUAUUUCUUCUGACUACAUAGUAAUUAAGAAUUCUUUUCAGGGUUAACUCUUGGAAAAGGAUACAUCUAAUAUGAGGAGCUAUGCAUUUAUCACAGGUUGUACAGUGUUGAUGUAGGUGCUAGGGAACUACAGAAAGUACUUGGUAUCUAGUUAAUCUGUAAUCUUCUAGUGUAAAAAUGAUUCUAUGUUUAAUAUCUUGUUGACAAGUUUGGGGGUUGAGGUAUCAUGGCCAUGAAUAGUAAAAUGUAGGAUUAGGACUUUGUGCAGAAAUUGUUCUGUUCCAGCACAGAAUGAAAAAUAUCUGACUGACCCCCAUGGGAAAUCUGAUCUGUUCUCUAGAUGUGAUUCCAGCCGUGCCUCUGUAGCACUUUCUCUCAUGCCUCCACAUUGCUGUUACAGUGAGUAUUUCUGUCUAAGCAGCAGUGUGGGAUAUGAUCUUGCUAAUCUCAUUCUGAAACUCCCCUCUAAUUCUUCACUGCAUAACUCAUGUCUUUGCAUGUGCCCAUGUGUGUGCUGGGAAGAGGGGGCAGACCUAUGAAGAAUUAUUCUACCCAGAUUUUUUUGCUUUUAUCCAAGAUUUUGGGUCACAAAUACCUUUUGGUUCAACUCUCAUCUGUCCCCUAGAGCUCAAUUUAACUUUUACAGCAAAUACCACCUCUGCUG